AUGACCCCAAAACUCCCCUGGGCCCAUUCACUUAUCGUGGGGUCCAUCUUUUUGGAAGCAUUACACAAUCAGAACUCUCCUCCUUUUCCUCUUGCAAAUUUCAAAAAGAUUGGGAUGGUUAGGGGAGAAAAAGAAGCUUUGUGUCUAUCUCCUCACAGAUUCCCCUUUUGUGAAGUGCAAGGAAAAGUGAGAGCUGGACUCUUCUCUUUCCUUCCAAAAGCCCAACCUAUAUUGUUAAUUUUUAUAUAUUUCUUCCAUGUAUAAAUGCGCCAUUCUUUCACGGCUUUCCUAUUCUGCUUCUCUCUUUACAACUUGGUUUGUCCGUUUCUCUGCUCUCUUUUAUUCUCAUUCCCUGCUUCUUUCGUUUCUCUCCGCACUUGACGAGGAGUCUUAGUGGCGAAGUUUAGCUUACUUUAGCUUAGUUCUAGCAAAUUGUGGCGAGCCUUUUGACGGCACUUCUUUUGAGACCCCUUUCUGAAAGCCGGAGAAUUCUUGGCUUCUCUCUUCUUCCCCACUCUUGGAGUAAGUUUUUGAAGAGUUCGGUUUUUCUGUUUUUAUAUGUUUUUUGACUUGGAAAUGUUGUGUAGUUGGAGUGCAAGUUGCAGUUUGUGUUCUUGAGGAUUUUGGGGUUUUGUUUUGUUGGGUUUUCAGCAUUUUAGUUUCUUGUUUUGAGAUUGUUUAUUUUGUUUAUUUAUGUAUAGAUGUUUAAAGAAGGAGAUUUUCUGCCUGGAGUUCCCAAAUCUUAGUUAUAUUGGUGUCUUGGCCGGGGAAAAUGUGAUUUUUCUGUGGUUUUCUGGUAUUUAAAUUGCAUUAUAAUUUUGGAUCUGCUGUGAGAAUUAGUGGGAAUGCUGAAUUAAUAGUUUUUUUAUUGAUGUUUUUGUUUUCUUGGUGGUGGAUUCUAGAAAAGGUGCAUUUUCGACAUAUGGAUUUUACUUGGAUCAAUUUUUCUAAUAACUAUAUGAAGGGGAUGGGUCAUGGGUUGGUGAACUAGCUUGCUUCUAACAUGAAUAUUGCCUUUCUUGUAACCUUUUUUUUAAUGAUACUGUGAAAAAGUUUAUGUUUCUAAGCAAAAUCUUGUGGAUACUGAGGAAGGAUCAUUGAAAGCUGGGAUAAAGGUUUUCUCGCUAUGGUUCGUUGGUUUAUAGUGAAAUGUAACCGCGAGUUGCAUGAAAUGUUUUGUGAUCUCCUACUAAAACUCCAUUUUACUUACUUUUGACUUGUUUGAGCUUUCUAUGUUCGAAAUAUUAAUUUUGUGACUGUGACCUAUCAAUUCUACAUUAUUCAUUCCGAAUAUGACCUCUCUCUCUCUCUCUCU
Molecule: long non-coding RNA, 1315 nt
Filed under: Elaeis guineensis (African oil palm)
Lineage: Eukaryota; Viridiplantae; Streptophyta; Magnoliopsida; Arecales; Arecaceae
Description: long non-coding RNA (EGUI_LNC074046)
Source: RNAcentral